Molecule: ribosomal RNA, 611 nt
Filed under: uncultured bacterium
Lineage: Bacteria
Description: bacterial SSU rRNA
Rfam family: Bacterial small subunit ribosomal RNA
Source: RNAcentral
GACGGGGGCCCGCACAAGCGGAGGAACAUGUGGUUUAAUUCGAUGAUACGCGAGGAACCUUACCCGGGCUCGAACGGUGCAGGAAGGAACAAGAGAUUGUGACGCCCUUCGGGGCCUGCAUCGAGGUGCUGCAUGGUUGUCGUCAGCUCGUGCCGUGAGGUGUCGGCUCAAGUGCCAUAACGAGCGCAACCCUUGUCAGUAGUUACCAGCAUGUGAUGAUGGGGACUCUACUGAGACUGCCACCGCAAGGUGAGAGGAAGGGGGGGAUGACGUCAAAUCAGCACGGCCCUUACGUCCGGGGCGACACACGUGUUACAAUGGCGGCCACAGAGGGAAGCCACCCUGCGAAGGGGAGCGAAUCUCGAAAAGCCGUCUCAGUUCGGAUCGGAGUCUGCAACCCGACUCCGUGAAGCUGGAUUCGCUAGUAAUCGCGCAUCAGCCAUGGCGCGGUGAAUACGUUCCCGGGCCUUGUACACACCGCCCGUCAAGCCAUGAAAGCCGGGGGUGCCUGAAGUUCGUGACCGCAAGGAGCGACCUAGGGCAAAACUGGUAAUUGGGGCUAAGUCGUAACAAGGUAGCCGUACCGGAAGGUGUGGCUGGAACACCUCCUU